This is a non-coding RNA of Anas platyrhynchos (mallard), 929 nucleotides long. The record is from RefSeq and is a predicted model, not a curated record. NCBI's taxonomy places the organism in Eukaryota, Metazoa, Chordata, Aves, Anseriformes, Anatidae.
GUUGUUACAAAUUAGAUUUGUUUUAAAACGUAUAUAUGAUCAGUUUGUAUUUAAAAAUCUUUAAAUUCUUCUAGAAGAAUACUGUGAUGUUUGAAUAGGAUAUCAAAACAAUGGAGUAUGUUUUGAAAUGUUUGUGUUGUACCAAUUGGUGAAAAAACUAACCAUCCUUGAUAAUAUUUUCUAAAACAGUUACAGAGUGUUUUGUAAUUGUCUGUUUCAGACCAACUGUCAAAAGCAAAAGGAAGUAGAGUUGCCUUUCCUUGUGAAUUCAGCAGUGACACUUUACACAGAGAGGGCAUCAGCGUUGUCUGGAAACGAAUCAGAAAUUCAGAGACCUCAGUCCUGGCCACCUUCAAUGGUACCUCUCACUCUUACCAGCCUCGAGUCCAGAUUAACCAAAGGGACUUUUCACUGCUAUUGAGUGAUCUUACCACAAGUGACAGUGGAGAAUAUCUCUGUAACAUGUCAACACCUCACUACACAAAACUCACAGUGAGAACUUUGGAAGUUGAACAUUCAGAUAACACUUGGAAAACUGUGACAUUACUUGUACGGUGGUGAUGUACUGGCAGCGAUAGGACUGGCAGCGAUAGGGGUCUGUCUCUGUAAGACACUACUGAGAAUACUGCUGAAAUACAAGCUUGAGCAGAGGAGUUCCUUCGUCUUCCCAAUUGAAUUACACUGAGAACCAAGUGGAAAGGCAAUCAUCUGAACAACAGUAACAAACAAGUAAAGUGACAAAGAACAUAUACAAGUCAAUUGACAUUUGUAUGUGAGGAGUCUGCAUGAAGAACCGGAAUGCGAGUGUACUAAAAGGACAAUGAAAAAGUGUCACACAAGGUUGAGUUUUGAGUGUCGGUGGACUUUGGGUUUGUUUUUGGACUAUGAGGGGAAGAGAGGGCUUACUGUUUUGUACUUCGUUGAGUAUU